CACACCCGUUCCCAUCCCGAACACGGAAGUUAAGCUCUCCAGCGCCGAUGGUAGUUGGCGGGACACCGCCUGCGAGAGUAGGACGUUGCCGGGC
RNAcentral lists this ribosomal RNA (94 nucleotides) under Anoxybacillus pushchinoensis. Lineage: Bacteria; Bacillati; Bacillota; Bacilli; Caryophanales; Anoxybacillaceae. The record is from RNAcentral. RNAcentral also lists the same sequence under 5 other names.